UCUAAAAUGGCAGAUAAAUGCCUGAGAUUUAAGCUCUCAUCAUGGAGAUCAUACCUCCUUUUAGAA
This 66-nucleotide transfer RNA is filed under the name Coenobita rugosus. Its description in RNAcentral is "tRNA-Leu". The record is from RNAcentral. Lineage: Eukaryota; Metazoa; Arthropoda; Malacostraca; Decapoda; Coenobitidae.